CAACUCCAACAUUAGAAUUUUUAUGAAAACAAAACAUUGAAAUUAAAGGUUGAAUUUCUUGUGACAUAAAAAAAUAAUAAAAGAUAAUUUGAAAAAGAAAAAAAAAACCCAAAUUUAUAUUUGCACAUUACUUUCGUAACGCGGAGGAAAAAAAAAAGCGCGAACGGUAUUUUCCGUCUCUCAUACUCUGCGAGUAAAAAGCAUUACCAAUUGCCAUAGGCGCUGAUCAGCAACUUCAUCUUCAUCUUCAUCUUCAUCUUCAUCUUCGGUUCAAUCGUAAUCCCAAGGGAUGCGAUAAGAUUGACGAUCGACGCGGAUUUCGAUUCAGAAGUAUCGAUCCGUUGAUGAUUAGUUGUUGGCGGCAAACUUCUGAAUCGGCACUUUUCAGAAACUUAACCAUGGCUGGAGGUUGGGCCCUGUUCGAAAAAUCAUGAUGGUUGUAAGUUAGCUAUUGCCUUCUAGGAUUUGGAUUGUUCUACUGCCAAUGGCCAAUUGUAUGGAACAGGCAGCGGCAGCAAGCAUCUGAUAUAUAAAUAUCAAGCUCUGCAACUUGAACUUCAAGAAACUUCUUCAACACAUGUAUGCUUCGCUGGGCUUUGGUCACUUGGAUAGGCAUUUUGUUUGAGAUAAAGGUGUGGGCCUUACAUAUCUUUCUGUGGAUUGGAUUAUCUAUUUUAUGUUGGUAAGCUUCCCCCUACGCUUGAUACUUUUAUUUUUAAUUUUAAAAUUAUUUCUUGAGAAUUGACUCAUCCCUAUCAAAACAGCACUGAUUACAUUCUCUAUUGUCAAAUCGUAUUUGCUUUUCUUUUUGUACAUUUACUGCACAUGAAACUUUCUUUACUUCAUAUAUUCAUGAAAAGUGCAUUUAUUUAUGCUU
Molecule: long non-coding RNA, 877 nt
Organism: Cucumis sativus (cucumber)
Lineage: Eukaryota; Viridiplantae; Streptophyta; Magnoliopsida; Cucurbitales; Cucurbitaceae
Exons: 4
Source: RefSeq, a predicted model, not a curated record